GAUGAACGCUGGCGGUAUGCUUAACACAUGCAAGUCGAACGGGAUAUCUUCGGAUAUUUAGUGGCGGACGGGUGAGUAACGCGUGAGAACAUGCCCUUAGGUUCGGGACAACAGUUGGAAACGACUGCUAAUACCGAAUGUGCCGAGAGGUGAAAGAUUAAUUGCCUAGGGAUUGGCUCGCGUCAGAUUAGCUAGUUGGUAGAGUAACGGUUUACCAAGGCGACGAUCGUAACUGGUCUGAGAGGAUGACCAGUCACACUGGGACUGAGACACGGCCCAGACUCCUACGGGAGGCAGCAGUGGGGAAUUUUCCGCAAUGGGCGAAAGCCUGACGGAGCAAUACCGCGUGAGGGAGGACGGCUCUUGGGUUGUAAACCUCUUUUAUCAGGGAAGAAGAUCUGACGGUACCUGAUGAAUCAGCAUC
RNAcentral lists this ribosomal RNA (424 nucleotides) under uncultured bacterium. RNAcentral describes it as "bacterial SSU rRNA". It matches the Rfam family "Bacterial small subunit ribosomal RNA", at positions 28 to 494 of the family's 1533-position model. The record is from RNAcentral.